RNAcentral lists this ribosomal RNA (253 nucleotides) under uncultured bacterium. RNAcentral describes it as "partial 16S ribosomal RNA". It matches the Rfam family "Bacterial small subunit ribosomal RNA", at positions 524 to 776 of the family's 1533-position model. The record is from RNAcentral.
UACGUAGGGUGCAAGCGUUAAUCGGAAUUACUGGGCGUAAAGCGGGCGCAGGCGGUUGUGUAAGUCUGAUGUGAAAUCCCCGGGCUCAACCUGGGAAUUGCACUGGAGACUGCAAGGCUAGAAUCUGGCAGAGGGGGGUAGAAUUCCACGUGUAGCAGUGAAAUGCGUAGAGAUGUGGAGGAACACCGAUGGCGAAGGCAGCCCCCUGGGUCAAGAUUGACGCUCAUGCACGAAAGCGUGGGGAGCAAACAGG